This 492-nucleotide ribosomal RNA is filed under the name uncultured bacterium. Its description in RNAcentral is "partial 16S ribosomal RNA". It matches the Rfam family "Bacterial small subunit ribosomal RNA", at positions 29 to 507 of the family's 1533-position model. The record is from RNAcentral.
AGUGAACGCUGGCGGUAGGCCUAACACAUGCAAGUCGAACGGCAGCACAGUAAGAGCUUGCUCUUACGGGUGGCGAGUGGCGGACGGGUGAGGAAUACAUCGGAAUCUACUUUUUCGUGGGGGAUAACGUAGGGAAACUUACGCUAAUACCGCAUACGACCUACGGGUGAAAGCAGGGGAUCUUCGGACCUUGCGCGAUUGAAUGAGCCGCUGUCGGAUUAGCUAGUUGGCGGGGUAAAGGCCCACCAAGGCGACGAUCCGUAGCUGGUCUGAGAGGAUGAUCAGCCACACUGGAACUGAGACACGGUCCAGACUCCUACGGGAGGCAGCAGGGGGGAAUAUUGGACAAUGGGCGCAAGCCUGAUCCAGCCAUACCGCGUGGGUGAAGAAGGCCUUCGGGUUGUAAAGCCCUUUUGUUGGGAAAGAAAAGCAGCAGGUUAAUACCCCGCUGUUCUGACGGUACCCAAAGAAUAAGCACCGGCUAACUUCGUG